UACCAGCACCCCUAGUGGUCGUGACGAUUAUUGGGCCUAAAGCAUCCGUAGCCGGUUUUACAAGUCCUCCGUUAAAUCCAGCUGCUUAACAGAUGGGCUGCGGAGGAUACUAUAAGACUAGGAGGCAGGAGAGGCAAGCGGUACUCAGUGGGUAGGGGUAAAAUCCGUUGAUCCAUUGAAGAACACCAGUGGCGAAGGCGGCUUGCCAGAAUGCGCUCGACGGUGAGGGAUGAAAGCUGGGGGAGCAAACCGG
Molecule: ribosomal RNA, 253 nt
Filed under: uncultured bacterium
Lineage: Bacteria
Description: partial 16S ribosomal RNA
Rfam family: Archaeal small subunit ribosomal RNA
Source: RNAcentral